AUGGUUCCGGGGACAGUUAGGGCGGCGGAUGGAGGUCAGCGGUGGUGUUCGCGGCGGUUUGGAAUCACUUGCUAGGAGUCUUGUCUCUCUGCCACCCAGGACAUCAUGGCAGCUCACCUGGUAAAGCGAUGCACAUGCCUCCUGAGAGAAGCUGCUCGUCAGGCCCCUGCCAUGGCUCCAGUUGGCCGACUGAGACUUGCCUGGGUAGCCCAUAGGACUCUGACUUCCUCAGCCACCUCACCCAUUUCCCACUUCCCAGGUUCCUUGAUGGAGCCGGUGGAGAAGAAACGAGCAUUUACUCCCUACAUAGAGAAGCAGAUGGACCACCUCAUCAAGAAGGCCACAAGGCCAGAGGAGCUCCUAGAGCUUGGUGGCAGUCACGAUUUGGACAGCAAUCAAGCAGCAAUGAUACUUAUCCAGCUCUCUCACUUGCUGUCUGAGAAGCCAGAAGAUAAAGCCUUGCUCAUACAGGAUGCCCACUUUCAUCAACUUCUCUGUCUGCUCAACAGUCAGAAAGUCUUAUGAUGCAAGACUGAACAUU
This 541-nucleotide small RNA is filed under the name Pongo abelii (Sumatran orangutan). Its description in RNAcentral is "processed transcript". Lineage: Eukaryota; Metazoa; Chordata; Mammalia; Primates; Hominidae. The record is from RNAcentral.